GGCCACGAUGGUUUCCACUCGGUGUCGGAGCUCGCAGUCACAGAAAUACUGCAGGAGCGUGCACAUCUGGAAGAGAAGGAGCAGAACCUCAGAACCUCCUGGGAUCUCGGCUUCAGAUGUCGACUUCAGCUAAAAGCACCAAUCCAGCCCAGAAACCCGGAGCUGCCUCAACGCCCAGACUGCAGGGCUAAGGAGGAAAUUCUGAUGGAUCCAGAGAGAAUGGGUGAAUUAGUGGAGAUGAGAUACCAGAGGAGGCCUCCAGACGAUCCAGUUUACUGACCAACCAGUCCAGGUUGUCACAGAACAACGCACAGUUGGAGCGGUUCCCUCGGAUCAGCGAGGCUGUGAGCUCGUAGAGGAGGUUGACAAUCUCCUUCCAGGACUCGGCCGCCUCCUCGCCUGCAAACUCUGAGAAGUGAGCGGCGGUGUUGUAGACGUUCAGGCGGUCGAUGCACUCCAACACGAUGCUCUCUACUAAUGAAACCUUAGUUUGAUGCUCCGAACCGUCCGUCUGGAUUCAAAAGCUUCCCUUUUGGGUUUCCGAACUGGUGAAACGUCGGUGAGAAAUGUUCCUCCUCCGGUGGACGGAAGUAGAAGAUGAGAUCCUGAAGGGAGAGGAUGACUCCAUCCAGAGGAAGAGACACGGAACCUGGAGACUUGUUCUUCCCGCUCAGAGAGUCCAGUCGCCUGGGAAAGAGAGGGAAGAAUCCCGUAGCUGGGAGGAGGGAUUUCCUUGUGUUCCCACCACAAACCUGUUUAGUAGAGACCCACGUACUUGAUGAACUGCCUGAAGAGACCUGUGGUGCUGUAAAUCAUCCGAGCAGCCUGAGAUUCCUCGCUUUGGGAGCGGGACACUGUGAGGGCGUCGUCCAUGUGACCCUCCUGAUGCAGAAUCACCUGAACACACAGAUUAAACAAAUGUUUAAAACUCCCAA
Non-coding RNA from Nothobranchius furzeri (turquoise killifish), 935 nucleotides. The record is from RefSeq and is a predicted model, not a curated record. NCBI's taxonomy places the organism in Eukaryota, Metazoa, Chordata, Actinopteri, Cyprinodontiformes, Nothobranchiidae.